Molecule: long non-coding RNA, 1240 nt
Filed under: Cyanistes caeruleus (blue tit)
Lineage: Eukaryota; Metazoa; Chordata; Aves; Passeriformes; Paridae
Description: lncRNA (ENSCCEG00000011949.1)
Source: RNAcentral
UGUGUGCAAUAGUUAGAAUAUGCAACAUUUUUAUCAGCUUCGGGUUGUCUGUUGUAAUUUAGGUGUAACCAUGUCUUUUCAGCCCCCUGAAUUAGCAGGACAAAGGGAGAAAAGUGCCGCAAGAAUUUUACCAUUCAGCUGUUAGCUUCCCUCUGUUCUCUGCUAAUGCACUUGAAGCCUUGCCUACAGUAAGUGCAGGAGGACCACGGAGAAGGCUUUCCAUUCUCUUGCUUUGUGAAGCCUUUCCAGUCCAGCAACUUCUAAGAGCAUUUUAAAAUGUAUUCUUCCUCGACAAGUGCCUCUGUUUACAGUAGAGCUUUCAAGAGCUGACAGGGGGUAAAACAAGCUUUCUUUUGCUGUGGAACCAGAGCCUGGGAGAGCAAAUGUGGGAAGAUUUCUGCCAAUAUUUCCAAGCAAGCUGGACAGGCAUCCUCGGGGUGUAUAGAACAUCUACUCUGUUGCUUUGCUUUUUCCUAUUGCACCUGUCUGUUAUACUGAAGGACAACCAUCCCAGUUCAGUUCAGCAGUAAGGCUGGCAAGGAGACUACUUGCUGCCGGCCAAAGACUUGAUCAAAGUGGACAGAUGUGGGGUCACAAGGAACAUUAUACACCAUUCAUCUCUGAAGCUUCCAUUUAGUCUUUGGAGACAACUCGGGCUUCUUCAACUCUUCUUCAGUUCUUUCCAGAUUUUGCUCAGAAUCAGACAGAAUUCUUUGAUGGAUAUUGGCUUGCAUCCAUGUAGAGCGCACAGAAAACUUAAUUUGUCUCAUCAAACAAAGAGGACAUCAACAAGAACAUCAUCAAACAAGAUCAACCUACUAACAUUAUUUUUAUUCUCCAUUACUAUCCCUAAUUGAGGUAUAAGAAGUUACUGAAUUCAUAAAUGCUGUAUUAAACAAUAACAAUACAUAUAUAUAUGAGCACAGAUUGACUAACUUUUGCAUUCAUGUUACUUGAAAUGAUGAUAUUUAAGCAUUAAGAAUGCUUUGUUGUUGUUUCAUACUCCUGAUAUUUUGAAGGGAGGUGAUUUCUGGUUAUAGCUUGUGUUAAUUUUGAAGGUAAUCAGCUUACCAAUUUACCAUCAAACCAAAACACCUGCUCUUCAUCCAUUUAAAAUCCCUUAGGAGGGAUAUUUCUGUUGCAUAAACGAGAAAAACCAGCCCAACACUAUCUUACAGUAGGGUUUUCUGUUUAAAACACUGAAAGCUCAGUCCAGAAAUAUAGUUGUCACAGAACUCAG